RNAcentral lists this ribosomal RNA (353 nucleotides) under uncultured bacterium. Its description in RNAcentral is "bacterial SSU rRNA". It matches the Rfam family "Bacterial small subunit ribosomal RNA", at positions 445 to 793 of the family's 1533-position model. The record is from RNAcentral.
UGGAUAUGUUAAUAGCAUAUUCAUUUGACGUUUAGCUGCAGAAGAAGCACCGGCUAACUCCGUGCCAGCAGCCGCGGUAAUACGGAGGGUGCGAGCGUUUAAUCGGAAUUUACUGGGCGUAAAGCGCAUGCAGGUGGUUUGUUAAGUCAGAUGUGAAAGCCCGGGGCUCAACCUCGGAAUUGCAUUUUGAAACUGGCAAACUAGAGUACUGUAGAGGGGGGUAGAAUUUCAGGUGUAGCGGUGAAAUGCGUAGAGAUCUGAAGGAAUACCGGUGGCGAAGGCGGCCCCCUGGACAGAUACUGACACUCAGAUGCGAAAGCGUGGGGAGCAAACAGGAUUAGAUACCCUGGUAG